CUUAAACUGCAAUGGAAUUAUUCCCUGAGCGAUAGGUGAAAACAACUUUUCUAGAGUCAUGAUGUUCUCCAACCAUUAGUUGUACUGACGUAGAGUGAUUAGUAUCCUUCGACGAGUUGUUGGACUAAAUAGGUUAAGUCAUGUGAUGUGGUAAGUGUGAUCCCAUGGUUGAUUGAUUGACUGACUGAUUGAUUGUCGGUUUCUCCGAACUUCUUCAUGCCUGGGGGAAAACCCACGGAAUAAUUUCAGACCAUUUCAGCCCCAAAUGUUUAUGAAGAUAGAGAAGCCACAUUAACAUCGGUCAUUGCAAUGUAAAUAUUAAUGCUGAAACAAAUGCGUAACAAAAAGUGCAUUCCCUUGACCAAGAUAGAAUUCGUAAAUCGCACUCGACUUUCUAUUUGUACCGGCGAGUGUGCUGGAAUGCAGUGGUUGGAAUGCGAGAGACGGAUAUCUUGAUUUCAAACAGUCUGUCAUCUGAUCUGAGACUGUAAUCACACGACGCAUGCCACGAAUGAGCAAGAUUUUACCAUUCUAGCAAAAAUUGAUUGUGAGGAAAUAUCAAAGAUGAAUUCACUUUUCAGUCUUCAUUGUGGGUGCUAUAAUCUAGCUGAUCGCAGUUCCAAACAAAAGGCAGCUGAAGACGGUCGAGGACAAUGCAGAGGAGGUUGGACACGCGCCGAAUUGCAUUAUGGUAGAGGUAAUUAACCAAUCAGCAGCGUCUAUUUUCUUGCAAGUCGAUUUGGAAGGGAUCGUCGUUCGAGGGAUGAGGAGGAUUUCUUGAGGUGUUUUUUCGGCGUUAACGAGUUAAGUGAUCCAGUUGCUUGACGAAAAAGAAAGAGAUCAGAGUUCACACAACUGAUUUCCUUGUGGAUAUUAAUAACUGGUGUUUUAACCAGGAGCUGUGGAAUGAAAAGAGAUAGUCCAUCUUCAAUGUCUCUACUAUGUUGUAGCUUUGUGUAUGCUUGAUGAGUUUUCCUUUAUGAGGAGAAAAGUUCUAGUAUCAAUGAUUUACUUUCAUGUUUUGGAAACCUGUUCUCCAAAAUGUUAUAAUUUUAGCAUAUGAUUGUUUAAUGAUGCAUUUCUUGACUACCAGUUUUAGACUGUAAUAUAAUGUUGAUAAUAAAAUAAUUUCAAUUAAAGAUA
Long non-coding RNA from Orbicella faveolata, 1143 nucleotides. RefSeq lists it as uncharacterized. The record is from RefSeq and is a predicted model, not a curated record. Lineage: Eukaryota; Metazoa; Cnidaria; Anthozoa; Scleractinia; Merulinidae.